CUACUCGAGUUGUAUGCAUUUUGUCGCUCAAUUUGGAAAAGUAAGUUAAUAACUGAUAUGGGUUCUACUUAAUUGCUUUGGAUUGUUGCUGAAUUUGCUUAAUGUCCGGUAUUUUUUUUAUUGUUUCUUGUUCUUUAUGGAAAACUUCCCUUGUGUAUAUGCAUUUCGUUGCUAAAUUUGGAAAAAUAAGUCAAGAACUGGGUCUGCUUAGUUACUUUGGGUGGUUGUUGAAUUUGCUUCAUAUUUGGUAUUUAUGUUGAUUGUUUCUUGUUAUAAAUGGCAAUAUUCCUUGAGGUUGUUUCUCCGAUCAAAUUUUGGACACAAUCCUUCUUUUCUUUUUUUUUUUAUUCAUUUUUCUCUUUGCUUUGUCUUUUUGUUAUUUAUUUUUUUGUUAACAAAGAAGCUGAGCAACUAGAUAUGGACCAUAUGGUUCGAUGGAAGUAGGUCAACAGUCAACAUUUAUUUUGUUUGAUUUCCUUGUAUAGCUUUUUGAGUUUUAUUUACGCAUUUCAUGGUACCUGCUUAGAUAAUUAGACUUUUGUUGAAAUUGCAUUAUGUUUGGUAUUUCAUUUUGAUUAUUUCUUGUUCUUU
This 591-nucleotide long non-coding RNA is filed under the name Olea europaea subsp. europaea. The record is from RNAcentral. Lineage: Eukaryota; Viridiplantae; Streptophyta; Magnoliopsida; Lamiales; Oleaceae.